AAUGUUAUUCACCAACUCAGACAUCUCUAUUCUUAAUGGACGAGUUGGUUGAAUAGUCCCACCACUUUCGUCUGGUUUAUUUUCGUCUGGUUUAUUUUCAUCUCACAUCCCACAACCAUAUCUACUCACGAUAAUUUUUUUACCCUCACAAUAAAAACUUUCCUAACCUUUCCAAAGUUCCCUAACUAGACACGUUAUAAACGAGCAAGAACUGAUAGCACGUUACUAAUCAAUAAAAUUUAGUUUCAUGACAAUCAAUUCCAAAUCCUAAUUUUCCUAAUACGUCGAUCUUUCUCUGCUCCUAAUGUCUCAGACCCCCCUCCCUCGUACGAUCGCCUGACCCACGCCCUCUUCCUCUUUCCUUUUUCACCGCUGCACCUCCAAAAAAAACCAUCAAUCACGCAACCCCACCUGCCUCUCCCCAACUCCCCAAGCGACAUCCUCUCUCCCCUCCCUGCCGCCCCCAAGACGCCCUCAUCGGCGCACUCUUCAUCGGAGCGCCGUCCGCUGGAAGCCGGAGUCGGGAAGGAGAGCAGCCACCAGCGGGGGAGACCACAAGGGGAGGUGUUGGUUCUUCCUCCGAUUGAUGCAUCGCUCAUGGGGGCACUGCUGGUGGGGGGCGGGGAGCGAUUUGGUGGCCGUGCUGGGGCCCGGCGGCGUGGGCGGGUGCGCUGGAACUGGUCGUGUCGAUGGCGUCGUUCCCGCCAGAGACCACGUUCGUGUGGGUGCUGGCCAGCGGCGGGUGCGCGGGCGGAUCGGUGUGCGUGCCUCUCGACGGUCUGCUCGACCCGGGCGGGUCGAUGGUUGUACGGCUUCCAUGUGCUGCGCACGGCGAAGGGCUUUCGUCGCUCGACGAGGUCAUCCAGCGGUCGGACGAGCUCGUUGGCCAGAUUGGGCAGCUGCCGCCCUCUGCUGAGAUUGUUCACACCAUGGAUGAGAUCUCCAACACUGUUUGCUCGGUCAUUGAUUCAGCGGAGCUGUGCAGGGACACGCACUCAGAUAGCUUAGUUGUCCAUCUACAGACAUUGGUGGUCAUGCCUUGCCCCUCUCUUCCCUCCAAGCUUGCCGCCCUCGCCCCCCUCUUUGAGGUAGCCGCACGUUGCUCAUCUCGGUGGCGUCAGGCGCGGCCGUCUCUACCAUGGCAUCGGUGUGGCCUUCCCUGCAAGGAGCGGCGCCUCCUUGGUACGAUCGCGACACUGAUUCAGCCGAAUCGGCGGGGGUUACUAGGCUCACAGGCUAGCUUUUCCUCGGAUGCAUCGAUGUUCUAAUUGUGAUGGCAUGACCAUAGAUCGUAUGAGUCUAGAAGACUUUGAGGCGGCUCAUCUGCGUGGAUGGUUGUGGCUGGGCACACAAUCCAUUAAUAAUCCUUCAAAUUUUCACACAGAAGGUUGUCCAGAUGAGCACUGGCCACUGGGAAAUGGCAACUUGGUUGAACUGAAUCAGCUCUAAUCUCCUAAAUUUGUGCAUUUAUCUUUAAAAAACACUGCAGUGCUACCUCCCCGUAGUAAUAAAUAAGUAUAUUAUGAAACUCAUAUAUGAUUAUUACUAUUAUUUUUGCACGUUCAAUCAAUUCCACUGAUAAAUCAUUUAUGCUUUUUUAGAACAAGCAUCAAGCAUCAUGUGGCAUUAUAGUCAUUGGUGAAGAUUGACAAUGCACUCAAAUACAAGACUUAUGAUGGUGUUUGGUGACUGAUAAACAUGAUUGGAAAGGUGCUUUCCAAGCAUAAGGGAAAGACUUCUAAAACCAGUGAAGUGUCUUAGCAAGGAUGACACGUCGUUGUGCCUCUCGGCCUGAACAAUAUAGCUCGUUUAGUUCAUCACCACAACUGGCUACACGGCGUGACGGAGCAGCUCCACAUGUCCUACGAGGACACGGAGUCAGCAUUGCACGGCCGUCGUAGGUGAGAGAUCGUGCCAUCGUGCCGCAUGACCCCCGUCGGCUCUAGACUGGUUUGUUGGUUUCUCUCCUUUAGAUGUGGGAUUAGGAACGGAAAAGUCGGUUUGUCGCCAAUUCAUAGAAAAGGAAUAGCCGGUUGUCAAACAAAGGAAGGAGGCUGGCUGGUAAUUGGGACUGGGGCAUUGAGAUUGAAAUUAACAUGUGUCGUGAAUCGACGAGGGUCUCACGGGUGGAACAUAUGAACCGGGCACGUAAGAUUUUUUUCCCGUGAGAGAGGAGGAAUAAUGCGAGAGAGGAAGAUGCGUCUAUGGCUCGAGGGCUACUAUUUCUUGCAAAAGCAGUGGCAGGGUGCAAUCGAUGGAGAAGGAGAGGCUAGGAAGGAAGAAGAGAAAGUAGCACACGAUCUGGACGGGUGGCUGUGCAUGGGCUAUUGUGUUGUGUGCCUGCGGCCAAGCCAAUUGGGAGAGAGGCAACCACCGCAGAGAUAGAGGAAAGAAGCAAUCCAUGCAUGUUGCUCACCAUCAGGGUAAGGUGGGUAGUUUAUGUCGCUAUGUCGUCGCAUCGGACGACUGGGAGCAGGGAAGAAAUUAAAGGAGAAAAUAUCAUAGCGGUAGAGACUGGGCCCAAAAAUUGGCAAGUUCAUCCCAAACCCAUUUUUGAUGUUUCAUGGUCACCUCUCCGUCCGUACACCGAACUAGGAACUCGCAAUUGUUUCUUGUUAUUGAACUAGACAUAAUCAGUCCAUUUAAAAUUGGUACAGAACCAUGCAUAUUUUUGAGUUGAUACAAAAAGACCAAUGGUUUCUUUUUUGCAUUAUUGUCGUCCAGAGUGUAAGAGUUCCAGCCAAAACAAGUUUAUGCCUAACAUUUAGUUAGUAAUGACUGAAAUCUGUUUUCAAAUUUAAGCAAUGAGGAUGUUAGAACUAAAUUAUAGUUCCAGCAUGAAAUUAGGUAAUUUCUUGUAGAUAAUCAUAGUGGUAUAUUUUGUUGUGUUCGGUUAACAAGAAUUAAAAAUAUAGAGAUAUUGUUGAGGAAACAAUAAGUUAAGUGGAUUCAUGGUUGACAAGCAAAGUUAUUUUGGGGAAAGUUCCAUAGUAAUGUUUACGAGCAUUUAGCAUGUGUGUCAUGCUUGUUUUCAGUGGAAUAUUACAUGAUAUGGUUCUAUAGGUUUUGGAGCUUCUACUGGUGUGGGUAGUUAUUUGCUUAAUGGUGUAACUUAAGCCAACUGCAUAAUGACCUUCAUAUGGUUUCGCCAUUGUUUUUUCUCCCGUUGUGCUUGCGUGUUCAAUCUUGUUAUUAUUGCAUCUUGUGGUCUACUCUGAUAGGUCAUGUUUGUUUGUAGGGUGACAUUUUAUACAUCUAGGGAACCAGGGCAAUUUGGACAUGUGAUAUUUCCUCGAGUAAGCAAACUUCUUUUGUAUGGCCCAGCAUGAUGAUCAACACAUCUGGUUUUAUAUGGUGCCACUUUUGUUGUAUACAACAAGCAACUAUUCAUUUUGUGUGCCUUGCAACAACAUCAUAAUCUCAUUAAACCUGCAAUAGAUCCAGUAGUAGAAAAAGGGUCAAAUGUUCAGCUCAUUA
RNA transcript from Aegilops tauschii subsp. strangulata, 3477 nucleotides. It is a transcript of the gene named mitochondrial intermediate peptidase, mitochondrial-like, with no coding region annotated. The record is from RefSeq and is a predicted model, not a curated record. Lineage: Eukaryota; Viridiplantae; Streptophyta; Magnoliopsida; Poales; Poaceae.